Molecule: ribosomal RNA, 484 nt
Filed under: uncultured bacterium
Lineage: Bacteria
Description: partial 16S ribosomal RNA
Rfam family: Bacterial small subunit ribosomal RNA
Source: RNAcentral
AUUGAACGCUGGCGGCAUGCUUUACACAUGCAAGUCGAACGGCAGCGCGGGCUUCGGCCUGGCGGCGAGUGGCGAACGGGUGAGUAAUACAUCGGAACGUGCCCAGUAGUGGGGGAUAGCUCGGCGAAAGCCGGAUUAAUACCGCAUACGACCUGAGGGUGAAAGCGGGGGAUCUUCGGACCUCGCGCUCUUGGAGCGGCCGAUGGCAGAUUAGCUAGUUGGUGGGGUAAAGGCCUACCAAGGCGACGAUCUGUAGCUGGUCUGAGAGGACGACCAGCCACACUGGGACUGAGACACGGCCCAGACUCCUACGGGAGGCAGCAGUGGGGAAUGUUGGACAAUGGGCGAAAGCCUGAUCCAGCAAUGCCGCGUGUGUGAUGAAGGCCUUCGGGUUGUAAAGCACUUUUGGCGGGAAAGAAAAGGACUGUGCCAAUACCACGGUUCGAUGACGGUACCCGCAGAAUAAGCACCGGCUAACUACGUG